RNAcentral lists this ribosomal RNA (253 nucleotides) under uncultured bacterium. RNAcentral describes it as "partial 16S ribosomal RNA". It matches the Rfam family "Bacterial small subunit ribosomal RNA", at positions 524 to 776 of the family's 1533-position model. The record is from RNAcentral.
CACGUAGGGCGCAAGCGUUGUCCGGAAUUAUUGGGCGUAAAGAGCUCGUAGGCGGUCUGUUGCGUCCGCUGUGAAAACCCAGGGCUUAACCCUGGGCUGGCAGUGGAUACGGACAGACUAGAGGUAGGUAGGGGAGAAUGGAAUUCCCGGUGUAGCGGUGAAAUGCGCAGAUAUCGGGAAGAACACCCGGGGCGAAGGCGGCUCUCUGGGACGGUACUGACGCUGAGACGCGAAAGCGUGGGGAGCGAACAGG